CCGGUUAAGAGUUUCUGAGUUGUUUUAAUGGGAAGACACGCCCAGCGGAAUUGAGCCACGGCACGAUAUUGAAUACACCUGUGUGGCUCAAUUAGGGAGGUUUGUUGGGUCCCGGUGGCUCUAUAAAAAGUUUGUCUAAAGGCACCAUUGUCAUUCUUCUCCGUACUGCGUGUAACAAAAGUCUAAAUGGUGAUAUUUCCUGUAGCUAUUCCCUGGGAUGUGCGUGCAGUGGCGAGCGCAGGUUGCAUAAAGCUUACUGUAGCCUAAUUGAUCUUUCACUUUGAGGUGUGGUCCAGAGCGCUAGCUGCUGUUUUCUUAGGGGUUCUAUACUCGUGGUGUCGCUGUUUGUCGGCUGGCUGUAGUGAUUGGACGUUUGCGGUUUCGAACCGCUGUAGUGACCGAGCUCUUCCACAAUCUCUGCCCUGACUGGUCUGUAUGAAGGUUGCUGAAUUAUUGGGCAUGCGUGUUUUAUAUGGACUAUUAAAGUGAACUAGAACAACGAGAAGUUUGGUCUGUAACAGCAGCCGGAACAAUUUUAAAGAUUAAUUGUGUUGAUGUAUUUUUCUUUCUUUUUUUUCCUUUCUUUGAUCUUGAACACUGUAUUUGCCAGGUAUGUCCACAUGUGAAUGAGUUGACCUGUGAUAUGAGGCUUAGCUGAAGAGGAGAGUGUAUUUGCUUUUUUUUGUUUGGUUUCUUUUGAAUUGUUUAUCACUUGCUUUGAUUUUGUUCACUGAUUGUUGUGUGGUUUGUCUCUUCAGCUAUUGCGGAUGAAUUACGGUCUCUUAUUUGCUGUGGGUAUUUAAUUGGUAAUUGUGUAUGAGACCUAUUUUUAGAUGUUUUAAAAUUAAUGUCCCUCGUACAAAAUAAACUUUGUAUACUUUUGAA
Non-coding RNA from Pimephales promelas (fathead minnow), 885 nucleotides. The record is from RefSeq and is a predicted model, not a curated record. Lineage: Eukaryota; Metazoa; Chordata; Actinopteri; Cypriniformes; Leuciscidae.